UACGUCUAUAUCAUGUGGAAACACCGGUUCUCGCACGAUCACCGAGGUUAAGCAACGCCGAGCCUGGUCAGUACCUGGAUGACCGCUUGGGAAUACCAGGUGCUGUAAG
This is a non-coding RNA of Acanthosepion pharaonis, 109 nucleotides long. The record is from the annotation of a GenBank genome assembly. NCBI's taxonomy places the organism in Eukaryota, Metazoa, Mollusca, Cephalopoda, Sepiida, Sepiidae.